UAGAGUUUGAUCAUGGCUCAGAUUGAACGCUGGCGGAAUGCUUUACACAUGCAAGUCGAACGGCAGCACGGGAGCUUGCUCCUGGUGGCGAGUGGCGAACGGGUGAGUAAUAUAUCGGAACGUACCCAGACGUGGGGGAUAACUAGUCGAAAGAUUAGCUAAUACCGCAUACGUCCUGAGGGAGAAAGCGGGGGAUCGCAAGACCUCGCGCGUUUGGAGCGGCCGAUAUCUGAUUAGCUAGAUGGUGAGGUAAAGGCUCACCAUGGCGACGAUCAGUAGCUGGUCUGAGAGGAUGAUCAGCCACACUGGAACUGAGACACGGUCCAGACUCCUACGGGAGGCAGCAGUGGGGAAUUUUGGACAAUGGGCGAAAGCCUGAUCCAGCCAUUCCGCGUGAGUGAAGAAGGCCUUCGGGUUGUAAAGCUCUUUCGGCAGGAACGAAACGGUGAGAGCUAAUAUCUCUUACUAAUGACGGUACCUGAAGAAGAAGCACCGGCUAACUACGUGCCAGCAGCCGCGGUAAUACGUAGGGUGCGAGCGUUAAUCGGAAUUACUGGGCGUAAAGCGUGCGCAGGCGGUGACUCAAGUCAGAUGUGAAAGCCCCGGGCUUAACCUGGGAACGGCAUUUGAAACUAGGUCGCUAGAGUAUGGCAGAGGGGGGUAGAAUUCCACGUGUAGCAGUGAAAUGC
RNAcentral lists this ribosomal RNA (689 nucleotides) under uncultured bacterium. Its description in RNAcentral is "bacterial SSU rRNA". It matches the Rfam family "Bacterial small subunit ribosomal RNA", at positions 1 to 689 of the family's 1533-position model. The record is from RNAcentral.